RNAcentral lists this ribosomal RNA (460 nucleotides) under uncultured bacterium. RNAcentral's name for it is "partial 16S ribosomal RNA". It matches the Rfam family "Bacterial small subunit ribosomal RNA", at positions 338 to 795 of the family's 1533-position model. The record is from RNAcentral.
CCUACGGGAGGCAGCAGUGAGGAAUAUUGGUCAAUGGACGAGAGUCUGAACCAGCCAAGUAGCGUGAAGGAUGACUGCCCUAUGGGUUGUAAACUUCUUUUAUAUGGGAAUAAAACGUUCCACGUGUGGGAUUUUGUAUGUACCAUAUGAAUAAGGAUCGGCUAACUCCGUGCCAGCAGCCGCGGUAAUACGGAGGAUCCGAGCGUUAUCCGGAUUUAUUGGGGUUAAAGGGAGCGUAGGUGGAUUGUUAAGUCAGUUGUGAAAGUUUGCGGCUCAACCGUAGAAUUGCAGUUGAAACUGGCAGUCUUGAGUACAGUAGAGGUGGGCGGAAUUCGUGGUGUAGCGGUGAAAUGCUUAGAUAUCACGAAGAACUCCGAUUGCGAAGGCAGUUCACUGGACUGCAACUGACACUGAGGCUCGAAAGUGUGGGUAUCAAACAGGAUUAGAUACCCGAGUAGUC